AAAUUGAAGAGUUUGAUCAUGGCUCAGAUUGAACGCUGGCGGCAGGCCUAACACAUGCAAGUCGAGCGGUAGCACAGAGAGCUUGCUCUCGGGUGACGAGCGGCGGACGGGUGAGUAAUGUCUGGGAAACUGCCUGAUGGAGGGGGAUAACUACUGGAAACGGUAGCUAAUACCGCAUAAUGUCGCAAGACCAAAGUGGGGGACCUUCGGGCCUCAUGCCAUCAGAUGUGCCCAGAUGGGAUUAGCUAGUAGGUGGGGUAACGGCUCACCUAGGCGACGAUCCCUAGCUGGUCUGAGAGGAUGACCAGCCACACUGGAACUGAGACACGGUCCAGACUCCUACGGGAGGCAGCAGUGGGGAAUAUUGCACAAUGGGCGCAAGCCUGAUGCAGCCAUGCCGCGUGUGUGAAGAAGGCCUUCGGGUUGUAAAGCACUUUCAGCGGGGAGGAAGGCGGUAAGGUUAAUAACCUUGGCGAUUGACGUUACCCGCAGAAGAAGCACCGGCUAACUCCGUGCCAGCAGCCGCGGUAAUACGGAGGGUGCAAGCGUUAAUCGGAAUUACUGGGCGUAAAGCGCACGCAGGCGGUCUGUCAAGUCGGAUGUGAAAUCCCCGGGCUCAACCUGGGAACUGCAUUCGAAACUGGCAGGCUAGAGUCUUGUAGAGGGGGGUAGAAUUCCAGGUGUAGCGGUGAAAUGCGUAGAGAUCUGGAGGAAUACCGGUGGCGAAGGCGGCCCCCUGGACAAAGACUGACGCUCAGGUGCGAAAGCGUGGGGAGCAAACAGGAUUAGAUACCCUGGUAGUCCACGCCGUAAACGAUGUCGAUUUGGAGGUUGUGCCCUUGAGGCGUGGCUUCCGGAGCUAACGCGUUAAAUCGACCGCCUGGGGAGUACGGCCGCAAGGUUAAAACUCAAAUGAAUUGACGGGGGCCCGCACAAGCGGUGGAGCAUGUGGUUUAAUUCGAUGCAACGCGAAGAACCUUACCUGGUCUUGACAUCCACAGAACUUUCCAGAGAUGGAUUGGUGCCUUCGGGAACUGUGAGACAGGUGCUGCAUGGCUGUCGUCAGCUCGUGUUGUGAAAUGUUGGGUUAAGUCCCGCAACGAGCGCAACCCUUAUCCUUUGUUGCCAGCGGUUAGGCCGGGAACUCAAAGGAGACUGCCAGUGAUAAACUGGAGGAAGGUGGGGAUGACGUCAAGUCAUCAUGGCCCUUACGACCAGGGCUACACACGUGCUACAAUGGCAUAUACAAAGAGAAGCGACCUCGCGAGAGCAAGCGGACCUCAUAAAGUAUGUCGUAGUCCGGAUUGGAGUCUGCAACUCGACUCCAUGAAGUCGGAAUCGCUAGUAAUCGUAGAUCAGAAUGCUACGGUGAAUACGUUCCCGGGCCUUGUACACACCGCCCGUCACACCAUGGGAGUGGGUUGCAAAAGAAGUAGGUAGCUUAACCUUCGGGAGGGCGCUUACCACUUUGUGAUUCAUGACUGGGGUGAAGUCGUAACAAGGUAACCGUAGGGGAACCUGCGGUUGGAUCACCUCCUUACCUUAAAGAA
Molecule: ribosomal RNA, 1550 nt
Filed under: Klebsiella pneumoniae
Lineage: Bacteria; Pseudomonadati; Pseudomonadota; Gammaproteobacteria; Enterobacterales; Enterobacteriaceae
Description: bacterial SSU rRNA
Rfam family: Bacterial small subunit ribosomal RNA
Source: RNAcentral